This 371-nucleotide ribosomal RNA is filed under the name uncultured organism. RNAcentral describes it as "bacterial SSU rRNA". It matches the Rfam family "Bacterial small subunit ribosomal RNA", at positions 526 to 896 of the family's 1533-position model. The record is from RNAcentral.
CAUGUGGGGCAAGCGUUGUUCGGAAUUACUGGGCAUAAAGGGUGCGUAGGCGGCUUGUUAAGUCAGGGGUGAAAGUUUUCGGCCCAACCGGAAAAUUGCCUUUGAUACUGGCGAGCUCGAGUGCGUGAGGGGUAACCGGAACGAGUGGUGUAGCGGUGAAAUGCGUAGAUAUCACUCGGAAGGCCAAAGGCGAAGGCAGGUUACUGGUACGCAACUGACGCUGAGGCACGAAAGCGUGGGGAGCAAACAGGAUUAGAUACCCUGGUAGUCCACGCCGUAAACGAUGAGCACUAGGUAGGUGCCGAGCUAUUCGGUGCCUGCCGCAGGUAAUUUGGUAAGUGCUCCGCCUGGGGAGUAUGGUCGCAAGGCUG